Molecule: ribosomal RNA, 253 nt
Filed under: uncultured bacterium
Lineage: Bacteria
Description: partial 16S ribosomal RNA
Rfam family: Bacterial small subunit ribosomal RNA
Source: RNAcentral
UACAGAGGGGGCAAGCGUUGUUCGGAAUUACUGGGCGUAAAGGGCGCGUAGGCGGCCUUCUAAGUCGAACGUGAAAUCCCCGGGCUCAACCCGGGAACUGCGUCCGAUACUGGAAGGCUUGAAUCCGGGAGAGGGAUGCGGAAUUCCAGGUGUAGCGGUGAAAUGCGUAGAUAUCGGGAGGAACACCAGUGGCGAAGGCGACUUCCUGGCCUGUUCUUGACGCUGAGGCGCGAAAGCGUGGGGAGCGAACAGG